This 64-nucleotide transfer RNA is filed under the name marine eukaryotic metagenome. It matches the Rfam family "tRNA", at positions 6 to 65 of the family's 71-position model. From Rfam's summary of the family: Transfer RNA (tRNA) molecules are approximately 80 nucleotides in length. Their secondary structure includes four short double-helical elements and three loops (D, anti-codon, and T loops). The record is from RNAcentral.
GGGGUAGCUCAGCUGGCAGAGCAGCGGACUGUUAAUCCGUUUGUCGUGGGUUCGAUCCCCACCC